UUUCCGUAGGUGAACCUGCGGAAGGAUCAUUCAUAAUAAGUGUUUUAUGGCACUUUUUUAAAUCCAUAUCCACCUUGUGUGCAAUGUCAGGGUUGAUUUUUCUCUCGAGAGGAUCAACUCCAAACAUCAACUAUAUCUCAACUCUUUGUCUGAAAAAUAUUAUGAAUAAAACAAUUCAAAAUACAACUUUCAACAACGGAUCUCUUGGCUCUC
This 213-nucleotide unclassified non-coding RNA is filed under the name plant metagenome. Its description in RNAcentral is "partial contains small subunit ribosomal RNA, internal transcribed spacer 1, and 5.8S ribosomal RNA". The record is from RNAcentral.